CGUUAGCAUCUGUUGGGGGAAUUGGUAUUAUUUUAAAAUAAAAUAAAUAAAAUAUCUGUUAAAAUAAUACCAAUUCUUUUAACAGAUGUUAACGUUCUUUUAUUCUGUAUUCUUAAGAGAAUUCCGUUCUUCACUGUAUGCACUGAUGAGGGACCAGGUUUGGGUCCGAAAACGUUUUGCAAAAUAAAUGAUUACUUGUGAAUGGUGCUGUUUUGUCAAUUAUCCUUCACAUUGUUGAAGAGGAACCUAUAAAAGAAAAUGCAUGUCUGUUCUAGGCUAACCGAUGGAUACAAACUCUCAUAAUUAUAUGUUGUGAAAGUGUCUUGUUCAUAUAAAUCUAGCUGUCAGAGUUUCAGCAGAAUGUCCGUCAUAGAGGUUGUAGAGUAAUUAUUCAUUCAGUCUUGUGCUAGUAUGUCUAUACACCACUUGGCUAAGGCAUGCUCUUGGCCAUAGAUAGGUGCACUGUUCUUCUCAAGUAUCAGGUGGGUGGCAAUGGAGUUCUUAUGGGUCCUGGAUCCCAAGUGCCUCGGGCUUGGAGGUGCUUUUUGCGGCAGUUCCGGGACAGGCCUCGGGGCUGCUGGACCCACCCGUCAUCUGCCUCGGAUCGUUCAGGGGGGCGUGCUCGGGGAGAGAUCUAGGUGGUGCCAUGGUGCUAGAAAUGGCACAGUGUGGCGCUUGUGUGUCAAAGAACUUUUGUCGCAUUAGGACUUC
RNAcentral lists this long non-coding RNA (711 nucleotides) under Androctonus crassicauda. The record is from RNAcentral. Lineage: Eukaryota; Metazoa; Arthropoda; Arachnida; Scorpiones; Buthidae.